GACGAACGCUGGCGGCAUGCCUAACACAUGCAAGUCGAACGGAGCAGGACUGAAGGUAGCGAUACCGGAUGGCUUGCUUAGUGGCGAACGGGUGAGUAACGCGUGAGCAACCUGCCUUGUACACUGGGAUAACAGAGGGAAACUUCUGCUAAUACCGGAUAACACCUUGAAGUGGCAUCACUUUGAGGUCAAAGCGAUUUAGCGGUACGAGAUGGGCUCGCGUCCCAUUAGCUAGUUGGUGAGAUAACAGCCCACCAAGGCGACGAUGGGUAGCCGACUUGAGAGAGUGAUCGGCCACACUGGAACUGAGACACGGUCCAGACUCCUACGGGAGGCAGCAGU
RNAcentral lists this ribosomal RNA (342 nucleotides) under uncultured bacterium. Its description in RNAcentral is "bacterial SSU rRNA". It matches the Rfam family "Bacterial small subunit ribosomal RNA", at positions 28 to 355 of the family's 1533-position model. The record is from RNAcentral.